This 696-nucleotide ribosomal RNA is filed under the name uncultured microorganism. RNAcentral's name for it is "bacterial SSU rRNA". It matches the Rfam family "Bacterial small subunit ribosomal RNA", at positions 61 to 761 of the family's 1533-position model. The record is from RNAcentral.
GUCGAGGGGUAGCGUAGCAAUACGUGAGACCGGCGCACGGGUGCGUAACGCGUAUGAGAGGUGUCCAAACCUCUGGGAUAGCCCCCGGAAACGGGGAUUAAUACCGGAUGGCCCGUAGUUGUGGCAUCACUUCUACGGUAAAGCUCAGGCGGGUUUGGGUCCUCAUGCGUACGAUUAGCUAGUUGGCGGGGUAACGGCCCACCAAGGCGACGAUCGUUAGGGGUCCUGAGAGGGAGAUCCCCCACACUGGUACUGAGACACGGGCCAGACUCCUACGGGAGGCAGCAGUAGGGAAUAUUGGGCAAUGGGCGCAAGCCUGACCCAGCCAUGCCGCGUGCAGGAAGAAGGCCCUCUGGGUUGUAAACUGCUUUUGGGAGGGGACAAAAAGCGGAUGCGUCCGUAAUUGAGUGUACCUCCAGAAUAAGCACCGGCUAACUCCGUGCCAGCAGCCGCGGUAAUACGGAGGGUGCAAGCGUUGUCCGGAUUUAUUGGGUUUAAAGGGUGCGUAGGCGGCCCGAUAAGUCGGGGGUGAAACCCACAAGCUUAACCUGUGGAGUGCCCUCGAUACUGUCGGGCUUGGGUUAUCUCUAGGCGGGCGGAAUGGAAGGUGUAGCGGUGAAAUGCAUAGAUAUCUACCAGAACGCCGAUAGCGAAGGCAGCUCGCUGGGGAUAUACCGACGCUGAGGCACGAUAGCG